GCUCCGUCAUCCCAGUGUUCAGACUACCUGUUCAGGAUCUUACUGGUGUACAGUAGUCUGCACAUUGGUUAGACUGUGCA
Molecule: non-coding RNA, 80 nt
Organism: Oreochromis niloticus (Nile tilapia)
Lineage: Eukaryota; Metazoa; Chordata; Actinopteri; Cichliformes; Cichlidae
Source: Rfam